Ornithorhynchus anatinus (platypus) is the source of this 1395-nucleotide long non-coding RNA. RefSeq lists it as uncharacterized. The transcript has 3 exons. Lineage: Eukaryota; Metazoa; Chordata; Mammalia; Monotremata; Ornithorhynchidae. The record is from RefSeq and is a predicted model, not a curated record.
UGGGCAACUGGGCAAGGGAGCCCUUGCCCACCCUGCCCCAACAUCCUCCUGAGACCGUGAGCAAUGAACACUUGCUGCAUGGAUCCUUUCUACUCUAAUCACCCUAUUAGCUUGGCUUAUGUGUUCAAACUCAGAUGUGAGCCUUGAGCCUCCUGGUCCCCCUGCCGCCACACUGAAGACUGACAUUCCCAAGGGCAGGGCCGAGGCUCCUGAGCCAGUGCGGUCACAGGGACCAGAGCUGCCCAUUGAGGCAUCCGGAGCAGCCGUGACAGAGCUCAGGGUGCUGGUUUAGGCUUCAUCCCCACACCCUCAGCCUUGGACCUGUGUGAGGAGGGACUGAGGGAUCCUGCCAACAAGUAAACUCAGCUCCGAGCUGCUCAAGGUCCACACCCCAGAUGUCAUCUGAGGACAGAUGUUGGAUUCUCCUCUGCCCCUUCCCCAGAGCUUCGGCAGGCACCGUCCGAUGGAGCUGGACCUUGGGUUCAGGCCAAUGGGGACAGAGUAACCUUGUGGAGAUUCGGCCAGAAAGGUGCAGCCACCACCUUGGGUCCACCGUGUUUCUGACCCCUGGGAGGCUCCAGAGAAAGCUGCAGCCCGGAUCACAGGAGAAGCAGAAGCCCCUGAAGAGAAAGGGACGUGAAGCCUGAUUGCUUGCUGACUGCUUCCCCCCUCCAAGACCAAGAGGCUGGCAGCCUCAUUCUCAGGGUGGGCCCCACUACCACACUGCCCACACCCUACCCGGACAAUGCCCCUUCUCUGACCCCAAACAUUGUUGCUGGACAGGAACUAAGGAACUCCUCCAGGAGAGAGAGAGAGAGAGUGUGUGUGUGUGGGGAGGUGUGGCAGAAAAAUAUGUGGAGGGGGCCCCCUCUCUUUCAGCAAGGAGCCUGGUCCUGGAACUCGGGCCUGGGGCUGUGAGCAGGGUCUCUGCUUCUGGCUGAUCAGACCAUAUGACGGGAGCAAGGCCUGGGGCCCUUAAUUCUAUAGUCAGGCCAAGCACCCUUCUAUGCUCUGACCUGCAGAGACCCCUGCCUCUCCCCAGACCUUGAGUUCCAGCCCCUCUUAGCUGAAUUGGGGGGACCUGCUGGGUGGAGGAUCAGGGUUAAGAGCAGGGCAGCCUUGGGGGUUGUGUGUAAAGAGCUUGUGGUCCCUCCUGGAGGAGCAGAGUAGGGGGUGGUGAGACCCUAAAAUCUGGGUGGUGGGGUAAGCAAACAGUCUGUGCUCAAGAAAGUGGCAUUGUCCGGUGCCCCUUUCAGGUAAACUCCUGAAGGGCAACCAUCAGCUCUAUUAACCCACCUGUGGGGAAACUCGGAGGCUGUGCCCUCAGUAACUACAAUGGACUGAGCACUGUGCAUGUUGGAUUUUAUUUGCGGAAUAAAGUAGACAUUCCUUACA